GGUGGCUCAGUGGUAGAGCGCUUGCCUUGCAAGCAUGAGGCCCUGGGUCCAAUUCCUCAGCACCA
RNAcentral lists this transfer RNA (65 nucleotides) under Dipodomys ordii (Ord's kangaroo rat). It matches the Rfam family "tRNA". Rfam says of the family: Transfer RNA (tRNA) molecules are approximately 80 nucleotides in length. Their secondary structure includes four short double-helical elements and three loops (D, anti-codon, and T loops). Lineage: Eukaryota; Metazoa; Chordata; Mammalia; Rodentia; Heteromyidae. The record is from Rfam by way of RNAcentral.